This is a non-coding RNA of Ostreococcus tauri, 72 nucleotides long. The record is from Rfam. NCBI's taxonomy places the organism in Eukaryota, Viridiplantae, Chlorophyta, Mamiellophyceae, Mamiellales, Bathycoccaceae.
GCGGGUGUAACUCAAUGGUAGAGUGUCAUCCUUCCAAGUUGAACGUUGCGUGUUCGAAUCACGUCACCCGCU